Molecule: long non-coding RNA, 830 nt
Filed under: Ananas comosus (pineapple)
Lineage: Eukaryota; Viridiplantae; Streptophyta; Magnoliopsida; Poales; Bromeliaceae
Description: long non-coding RNA (ACOM_LNC039634)
Source: RNAcentral
GUAGGAAAAUGACUUAGUUACACUAUACAACAAUGUCCUUUAGGGUGCGUUUGGUUCGGGUUAUCUUGACAAGAUUACAAACAAUUCUUGCUAGUAUUACUGUAUUUGGUUCAUCCGGUAUGUAAUCUGAUCAAUAAUGUAGCAUUACAAAUAGUACAUCAUUACAUCGAAAAUAUUACCGAGGGAGGGGCGUGUAUCUUGGAUUACUGAAAGUGGCUAAUCUUACAUGUUAUAUAAAAUUACAAGUUUACCCCUCCAACUAUCGAAACCCUUUCAAUACGUCAUUUUAAAAAUUUUAAUUUAAAUUUUGAAUUGUCAAUUUUUAAAAUAUAAAACUUAAAUUUUAAAUUUUCAAAUUUAAAUUUUCAAAAUUUAAAAUUUUAAUUUUUAAACUUCAAAUUUUAAAUUUUAAAUUUUAAAUUUAAAUCUAAAAUUAUAAAUUUUAAAUUUUGAAUUUAUAUCUUAAAUCUUAAAUUUUAAAUUUAAAUCUUAAAUUUUAAAUUUUAAAUUUAAAUCUUAAAUUUUAAAUUUUAAAUUUAAAUUUGUAUUUUAAAUUUUAAAUUUAAAUUUGCAUUUUAAAUUUUAAAUUUAGAUUUUAAAUUUAAUUUUAAAUUUAUAAAUUUCAUAUUUAUAUUUUAAAUUAAUAUAUUAAAAUUUAUAUUUCUGUUCAAAUUUAAAUUUUAAAAUUUUAAAAUUUUAAAUUAUUUAAAAUAAAAUUUAGUAAAAAAAUAUUAUUAGUAAACAAUAAAAAAAGCUUGCCAAAUAUGGCUAAGGACAAUUUUAGAAUAGACUAUACUUUAUUGUGAAGCUUACUGAAUUUUAUAAACUAA